GACGAACGCUGGCGGCGUGCCUAAUACAUGCAAGUAGAACGAGGUGCGAACGGGUGAGGAAUGUCUGGGAAACUGCCCGUUGGAGGGGGAUAACUACGGGAAACGGUAGCUAAUACCGCAUACCAUCGGAUGUGCCCAGAUGGGAUUGGCUAGUAGGUGGGGUAACGGCUCACCUAGGCGACGAUCCCUAGCUGGUCUGAGAGGAUGACCCGCCACACUGGAACGGGGACACGGUCCAGACUCCUACGGGAGGCAGCAGUGGGGAAUAUUGGACAAUGGGCGCAAGCCUGAUGCAGCCAUGCCGCGUGUAUGAAGAAGGCCUUCGGGUUGUAAAGUACUUUCAGCAAGGAGGCGUUACUCACAGAAGAAGCACCGGCUAACUCCGUGCCAGCAGCCGCGGUAAUAC
This 406-nucleotide ribosomal RNA is filed under the name uncultured bacterium. RNAcentral's name for it is "partial 16S ribosomal RNA". It matches the Rfam family "Bacterial small subunit ribosomal RNA", at positions 28 to 526 of the family's 1533-position model. The record is from RNAcentral.